This 521-nucleotide ribosomal RNA is filed under the name uncultured Glomeraceae. Its description in RNAcentral is "SSU rRNA". It matches the Rfam family "Eukaryotic small subunit ribosomal RNA", at positions 569 to 1092 of the family's 1831-position model. Lineage: Eukaryota; Fungi; Glomeromycota; Glomeromycetes; Glomerales; Glomeraceae. The record is from RNAcentral.
AGCAGCCGCGGUAAUUCCAGCUCCAAUAGCGUAUAUUAAAGUUGCUGCAGUUAAAAAGCUCGUAGUUGAAUUUCGGGACUAAUAUGUCGGUCGUGCCUCGGUACGUACUGGUAUUUUUGGUUUCUCCCUUCUGACGAACCUUGAUGUCAUUAAUUUGGUGUCUUGGGGAAUCAGGACUGUUACUUUGAAAAAAUUAGAGUGUUUAAAGCAGGCUCACGCUUGAAUACAUUAGCAUGGAAUAAUGAAAUAGGACGUUUGAUUCUAUUUUGUUGGUUUCUAGGAUUGACGUAAUGAUUAAUAGGGAUAGUUGGGGGCAUUAGUAUUCAAUUGUCAGAGGUGAAAUUCUUGGAUUUAUUGAAGACUAACUACUGCGAAAGCAUUUGCCAAGGAUGUUUUCAUUAAUCAAGAACGAAAGUUAGGGGAUCGAAGACGAUCAGAUACCGUCGUAGUCUUAACCAUAAACUAUGCCGACUAGGGAUCGGAUGAUGUUGAUUUUUUAAUGACUCAUUCGGCGCCUUACG